RNAcentral lists this long non-coding RNA (1068 nucleotides) under Anser brachyrhynchus (Pink-footed goose). Its description in RNAcentral is "lncRNA (ENSABRG00000013524.1)". Lineage: Eukaryota; Metazoa; Chordata; Aves; Anseriformes; Anatidae. The record is from RNAcentral.
GCUUAUUGCGAGAUUUCAGCGUCCUAGUCUAAAAAAUAAAAAUAAUCAAAUAAAAAUAAAAUAAACCCUUCCAUAAAAUUCAUUCUCAACAAUACAUAAAAAAACGCUCACAGUAUAGCGCCUGCCGGCUGUAUUUACAGAGCGGAGCGGCCCCCGGGCCCCCGCGGAGAAAAGAGACGGGGCUGGAAAAGGUCCGUGGAAAGGGCUCGGUGCGGGCAAAGCCGGCGUCCCGGGGCCACCGCCCCCGGCGUGAGCCCCCCGGGGGGGGGACACAGUCCUGGAUUUAAGGCGAGGAGGGGCCGGGCCCCUCUCUGGUUCAUCUCCCACCCCCUGUGCUUCGGGGGCCGAUGGGGUUUUUCCGUGGUUUCCUUUUGGAUGCGAAGAAAGAAGAGGAGAAGAAGCCAAAGCCCGGCGCAGCCGCGGCCCCGGUGCCAGCCCCGCGCGGAGCGGGGGGGACAAUCAUAGGGGGGGCCCCGUCCGCCCCCCACGGCCGAUGCUGGGGACGAGCCCCUGGGGCCACGAGCACCUGGGAGGCGGCGAGGAGGACGGGGUGCAGACCCAAAAAGCUGCUCCAUCCUGGCGCUGGGGGGGAAUCCAGCCCCCGGGGGGGCACAGGCGGUGCUUGGGCUGACACGGAGGGGAUGCAGCACCGGGGGGGGCAGCGGUCGGCCCUGCUCCAGCCCCAGGUCCAGCCGAGCACCUGGGGGGGCUCCUGGUGCCAUCCAGAACCCCCAGGGCUCCCCGUGGGUGCUGCCACUUCGCUGCUGGCGGAGCCGCCCCGUGGGGACAGAGGUGACAUCCACAGUGCGAGCCAUGGGGAGGGGUCACCCCAGGGGGCUCGUAGCUCGGAGACCCCCCCAGAAGCCUCGUGUCUGUCCGGGUCCCCCAUCCCCGUGCGCUGCGAUGUCCUGCUGCAGGAGGGGCGGCCGGGCUGGGAAGGAGUCCGUGCCAUCGGCACCGUGGCGGUGUCCAUCUCGCCGGGCGAAGGCAGUGUGCCAUGCCGCAGCCACCACGGCCCCGGAGAGGGGCUCAGCGCCCGGGGCCCCCCCGUGCGGUUCAGUCUGACAC